This 1698-nucleotide long non-coding RNA is filed under the name Salvia miltiorrhiza (redroot sage). RNAcentral describes it as "long non-coding RNA (SMIL_LNC008383)". The record is from RNAcentral. Lineage: Eukaryota; Viridiplantae; Streptophyta; Magnoliopsida; Lamiales; Lamiaceae.
UUUAUAAUGUUACAUAUUCAAUUGAAUUAUUUAAAAAUAUACAUAAAGGCAAUAUAUUAGUUAAAAGUUAAGCUGAGCCCAAAUCCUCUAUAUAAAGUGAGGCUAUUACAAUAGAAGAUCAAGCUGAACAAAAAUUAAUAUCCUUAUGUAGCUCAUCAUCUCAAGUUACUCAAUUUGUAGUAAACCAUGACUUUGUCUCUUCUUUACCUGCUUCAUUUCUUUUCCUCCUCAUCAUCCCUAUAACUGUAAUAAUUUAUAUCCAUCUUUUUGUAUAGAUCAUACCUACAUAAAAGUUUUGUCAGACAACAUUAGUAGAAAAGGAAAGAAGAAAAGAAAGAGCAUAAACAGUCAUAAGGUCACAAACUGAUUCAACUAUGAGUCAAUAUAUAUAUAUAUAUAUAUAUAAAAGAAAAAAGAAUAAUAUUAGAGGGAAAAUGAAGCCAAUAUAAAGAGAAUAACAUUAAGGGGAAAUAUUUUAACAAUGAGCUCCUACACAAACUUCCAGUGCCUCUAUAGAUUUUAUAUAUAGUCAAGAACUUAGAAAUAUUUGAAACAUACAUACCUUUUAUAUUUAACUUUUCAUAACAAUGGGAGCAUAAGAAUACACAUUAGUAUAUAGCAGUUUCAUGCUUAUUAUCCAACUAUAAAUAGAAACAAAAAGACAUGAAAGCAAAAUUCAGUAUCAAAAUAGAAAACAUAAGAAGUAUUGAGAUGCCACUAUUAAUAUGAGCAACCACCUUAAACUUGAAAUCAUUUCUAUCACAAGAUCAACUGCUAGGUCAGAUCGUUUAUGGUAAAACUGUCAACAUUACUUGGUUCUAACUUGUGCAACACUGACUGUAUAAAUAGCCCAUUUCACAUCCACAAUAUUCACAUCUCCAAAACACGAAGCACAUACUUCAACAAUUGUUUGAGUUCUACAGCUAACACUUUCCAGCCAAAAUAGUAUUAAACAAAAUAUUUAUAUCGUCAAUAGAAAUAUUAUAUCAUCAAUAGAAAGACAGUUGACACUUGAUAUAAAUCAAAACCACACAUGUAAUCAAAAGUAGCAAUACAAAUAGUUUCACCGUCACACAAUCAUUUGAGGAAGAAUAAAGCAUAUUAUGUACUAAAUCCUAAGCGAGAGAAAAUUUAAGUAGUAGUGUUUUUAUUCAUCAAAAUAAAAAUAUCACAAGGUUUUUAGCUUAUGCUUCGUCGAUUGAAUUCGAGAAAUAAUGCAUAAAAAUAUCACAAGGUGUGUAAAAGAAAAAGGUAAACAUCGAGAUGCAAAUUACCUCCAUUUCAAUUAUAUGACAGAUGAUUAUGUCUGAUGACUCAAGACCUUUUUCGGAAAAAAGAUCAGAGAAUUGCUCCAGCCUGGUAAUCAAUAAAAUAGGAAAAAAAAAAUAGAAAAAAAAAUUCAAGUCCGCUUAAUAAGAAAAAAAAAAUAGGAAUAGAGGGAGAAGGAAACUUGCAGGGUUAGCUCUUGCGUUUGGAGGCGGUGUGAGGCCACAGGCCAGCCCGAGUUUUGGGCGAUGGUUGCGUCUCCAUCAGAGUUUGGUGAACAAAUGGCGGCUGAGUCUCCGUCAAAGGACGACUCGCUAAUACGGUGGUUGAAUUGACCAAAAAGGAGAAGGGCAAGGAAAAUGGUUCAAAGUCUGGAGAUCUCUAUUUUUUGGCAUUUAGGUUGCUCCAGAAUGUAGAGAGAACGUGACUUAG